This is a long non-coding RNA of Homo sapiens (human), 846 nucleotides long. RefSeq annotates it as DPP3 divergent transcript. Lineage: Eukaryota; Metazoa; Chordata; Mammalia; Primates; Hominidae. The record is from RefSeq and is marked validated. The transcript is spliced from 4 exons.
GGCCUUUUGUCAGCAGGCCGCACACGCGCCGGACCGGGUACCGCUGUGCCCGGCCUGGCCGCGGCCUAGUCCCGGCAGACGGGACUGACGAGGUCACCAAGCCCAGGCCGAGACGGCGCGGGUGUCAGGGACUUGGGAAUCCCCCUCCCCCAGUCCCGAUCCCGCUUUCCUUUGGGGUUUCACCUCAGAGGACCCGACAGCACUCUUGCAGUUUCCUCAUCCUCAAGAUGGACUGCACCUUCUGGCAUCUCAAGUGGUUCUUGUGAAGAUUAAAUGAAUCCAUCAGGCCGGGUGCGGUGGCUCACGCCUGUAAUCCCAGCACUUUGGGAGGCCGAGACGAGCGCAUCACCUGAGGUCAGGAGUUCCAGACCAGCCUGGCCAACAAGCUGCCAGCAGCCUUGAAGCCACCUGGGACUGCACAGUAUGUCUGUGUGUGCCUUGAUCGCAUCACCCCCUGGACCUCCAGUGACCGAGAUCUCCCGCCAGACACCCGGGGCUGAGUCCUCGGAGAAGCCGCCUGCCGGGUGCAUCACCAGGACUCCAUUGGUGGUCAGUCCAUCCAUCAGGCCAUCUGGGGUCCGCCAUUUGGCCGCUCGCUCCUGGGACCACAUGAGGGAUCAGAUCACAUCCCCCAGGGGCCCCCCAGCAGGCCAUGUGCCAGAGGCACUGCCCCCGCUACCUUCAAGUUCAGAGGCGGCCCAGAGAGGACUGGCAUUGAAGCUGCAUGACUUGAGCGUCUCUCUGGGCCUCACUUUGCUCAUCAGUUAGGUGGGGUUGCUAACUGCCAGGACCACCAUUUGGAUUACUGUGGGCUGGUUCAUCACCUCAAGAUGCUGCACCUCCCAA